CGAAAGCCUGACGGAGCAACGCCGCGUGAGGGAAGAAGGCUCUUGGGCUGUCAACCACUUUUCUCAGGGAAGAAGUCCUGACGGUACCUGAGGAAUCAGCCUCGGCUAACUCCGUGCCAGCAGCCGCGGUAAUACGGAGGAGGCAAGCGUUAUCCGGAAUUAUUGGGCGUAAAGCGUCCGCAGGCGGUUAUUUAAGUCUGCUGUCAAAGCGUGGGGCUUAACUCCAUAGAGGCAGUGGAAACUGAGUGACUAGAGUGCGGUAGGGGUCGAGGGAAUUCCCAGUGUAGCGGUGAAAUGCGUAGAUAUUGGGAAGAACACCAGUGGCGAAAGCGCUCGACUGGGCCUGCACUGUUUACUGGGACGAAAGCUAGGGGAGCG
RNAcentral lists this ribosomal RNA (378 nucleotides) under uncultured cyanobacterium. Its description in RNAcentral is "bacterial SSU rRNA". It matches the Rfam family "Bacterial small subunit ribosomal RNA", at positions 376 to 770 of the family's 1533-position model. The record is from RNAcentral. Lineage: Bacteria; Bacillati; Cyanobacteriota.